GAAAUGCGAUAAGUAAUGUGAAUUGCAGAAUUCAGUGAAUCGUCGAAUCUUUGAACGCACAUUGCGCCCGCCAGUAUUCUGGCGGGCAUGCCUGUUCGAGCGUCAUUACAACCCUCAGGCCCCCGGGCCUGGCGUUGGGGAUCGGCGGAAGCCCCCUGCGGGCACAACGCCGUCCCCCAAAUACAGUGGCGGUCCCGCCGCAGCUUCCAUUGCGUAGUAGCUAACACCUCGCAACUGGAGAGCGGCGCGGCCACGCCGUAAAACACCCAACUUCUGAAUGUUGACCUCGAAUCAGGUAGGAAUACCCGCUGAACUUAAGC
RNAcentral lists this unclassified non-coding RNA (320 nucleotides) under plant metagenome. RNAcentral's name for it is "partial contains 5.8S ribosomal RNA, internal transcribed spacer 2, and large subunit ribosomal RNA". The stretch from base 1 to 105 matches the Rfam family "5.8S ribosomal RNA", at positions 50 to 154 of the family's 154-position model. The record is from RNAcentral.